UGGCGUAAACAAAGGGAAGCGAAACCGCGNGGUCAAGCAAAUCCCAAAAAUAACGUCCCAGUUCGGACUGUAGUCUGCAACCCGACUACACGAAGCCGGAAUCGCUAGUAAUCGCGAAUCAGAAUGUCGCGGUGAAUACGUUCCCGGGUCUUGUACACACCGCCCGUCACACCAUGGGAGUCGGAAAUGCCCGAAGUCAGUGACCCAACCGCAAGGAGGGAGCUGCCGAAGGCAGGUCCGGUAACUGGGGUGAAGUCGUAACAAGGUACC
RNAcentral lists this ribosomal RNA (270 nucleotides) under uncultured bacterium. RNAcentral describes it as "partial 16S ribosomal RNA". It matches the Rfam family "Bacterial small subunit ribosomal RNA", at positions 1231 to 1500 of the family's 1533-position model. The record is from RNAcentral.